Molecule: long non-coding RNA, 1245 nt
Organism: Mastomys coucha (southern multimammate mouse)
Lineage: Eukaryota; Metazoa; Chordata; Mammalia; Rodentia; Muridae
Exons: 4
Source: RefSeq, a predicted model, not a curated record
AGGUGGUAGUAUUUAAGAGGUCUGGGAAUAUUUGUUUGAAAAUUAUUAGUGUAGAUGGUCUUCAGAUUGUAUUUAAGUAAUAGACAUCAUGAUACUCCUCAGAAGACUAUGAAGAGAUACAAAACAAACAAACAACAAACAAAACAAAGCAUAUUCCAGAAGACAAUUCAAACAGUGACCUCUUCAAAGGUUAGAGGAAUAGCAGAAAAGAAAAAGCAAACAGAAAAUCAUGAGGCUUCCCGUGAAUCACUGCCUUUCUAUCUUGUUUGAAAUAGACAAAUUCAAAAUUUUCAGUGUGAAUCUUCCAUGGACCGAAAUGCAAAAACAUAAAAGAAAAAGAAAAGUUGCAUUGAUUUUAUCCAGAAUUCAAGAGAAGCAAAUGCCUAAUUUGACUCAGCAUAACCAAGCACAGUUGUGUAAUCCAGAAUCUACAACAGAAACCAAAUCCCGCAUAUCAUCCAUUGUAAAUCCUAAAUUUUUCUCAGCCUUGCUUCGGGGUGGUGGUGAAAAGGGCCAACUCUGGCAAUGACCAGUGCCCACAGAGGAAAUAAGAACUUAGCAAAAAACAAGUGAGUCAGGCAUGGAGGGCAGCCAAAAUCUUGCAGCCUGACUGAGUGGCAGGCUUUUGUGGAUGUACCUGUUCGUAUUUAUUCUGACUGAGGGUGUGUGGAAAGACUAACAACUGCACUCAUAUGCUGCUCCAAAAGUCACUCCUGAAAACCGUAACGAUUUGGGGACAUGGGUUAUGGCAGCUCUGUGGAGGAUGGACCCUAAGGUGGCCUACUGGCUUACUGAGGUGGCUCUACAAUGCAGGCAGACACGAUAGUAUGCUUGGCAUGGAGGUCAGCAGCAGUGGUAACCAAGGUACAACCACCCCUGGCUGGAAAAUUACAAUAUUAUAGAGGGAAAACAAGCAGGCCAAAGCAAGGCCCAGAAGAGGAACAAGCUGGAGAGGAAGGAUCAAAGUGCUUCGUUUUGGAACUCAGCGUGGUUUUGGAAACCAGCAGAGGAAAGAGUCAAACUUUCUCCAGUCUGCUUUUAAAACAUCACAGAAGAAUGAUUCAAGGCACCACUCAAUAAGGAAUCUGCAUGAGGGAAUACAGAAAAGUAAAUUGCAAGCCAUCAAAAAUGAAUGCAGUCAGUAGACUAUCUACUUCAGUACCCUUGCAAUGUGUUUUCUAGUGUUCUCUUUGUGUACUUUCUAGUAUUUGAAGAGUUGUCUACAUAAAUGACCCCUUACCUUUC